RNAcentral lists this ribosomal RNA (397 nucleotides) under uncultured bacterium. RNAcentral describes it as "partial 16S ribosomal RNA". It matches the Rfam family "Bacterial small subunit ribosomal RNA", at positions 523 to 918 of the family's 1533-position model. The record is from RNAcentral.
AUACGUAGGGGGCGAGCGUUGUCCGGAAUGAUUGGGCGUAAAGGGCGCGUAGGCGGCGCGGUAAGUCUGGAGUGAAAGUCCUGCUUUCAAGGUGGGAAUUGCUUUGGAUACUGCCGCGCUUGAGUGCAGGAGAGGUUAUCGGAAUUCCCGGUGUAGCGGUGAAAUGCGUAGAGAUCGGGAGGAACACCAGUGGAGAAGGCGGGUAACUGGACUGCAACUGACGCUGAGGCGCGAAAGUGUGGGGAGCAAACAGGAUUAGAUACCCUGGUAGUCCACACUGUAAACGAUGAAUGCUAGGUGUAAGAGGUAUCGACCCCUUUUGUGCCGGAGUCAACACAAUAAGCAUUCCGCCUGGGGAGUACGGCCGCAAGGUUGAAACUCAAAUGAAUUGACGGGG